GAUAAACGCUGGCGGCGUGCCUAAUACAUGCAAGUCGAGCGAACGGACGAGAAGCUUGCUUCUCUGAUGUUAGCGGCGGACGGGUGAGUAACACGUGGAUAACCUACCUAUAAGACUGGGAUAACUUCGGGAAACCGGAGCUAAUACCGGAUAAUAUUUUGAACCGCAUGGUUCAAAAGUGAAAGACGGUCUUGCUGUCACUUAUAGAUGGAUCCGCGCUGCAUUAGCUAGUUGGUAAGGUAACGGCUUACCAAGGCAACGAUGCAUAGCCGACCUGAGAGGGUGAUCGGCCACACUGGAACUGAGACACGGUCCAGACUCCUACGGGAGGCAGCAGUAGGGAAUCUUCCGCAAUGGGCGAAAGCCUGACGGAGCAACGCCGCGUGAGUGAUGAAGGUCUUCGGAUCGUAAAACUCUGUUAUUAGGGAAGAACAUAUGUGUAAGUAACUGUGCACAUCUUGACGGUACCUAAUCAGAAAGCCACGGCUAACUACGUGCCAGCAGCCGCGGUAAUACGUAGGUGGCAAGCGUUAUCCGGAAUUAUUGGGCGUAAAGCGCGCGUAGGCGGUUUUUUAAGUCUGAUGUGAAAGCCCACGGCUCAACCGUGGAGGGUCAUUGGAAACUGGAAAACUUGAGUGCAGAAGAGGAAAGUGGAAUUCCAUGUGUAGCGGUGAAAUGCGCAGAGAUAUGGAGGAACACCAGUGGCGAAGGCGACUUUCUGGUCUGUAACUGACGCUGAUGUGCGAAAGCGUGGGGAUCAAACAGGAUUAGAUACCCUGGUAGUCCACGCCGUAAACGAUGAGUGCUAAGUGUUAGGGGGUUUCCGCCCCUUAGCGCUGCAGCUAACGCAUUAAGCACUCCGCCUGGGGAGUACGACCGCAAGGUUGAAACUCAAAGGAAUUGACGGGGACCCGCACAAGCGGUGGAGCAUGUGGUUUAAUUCGAAGCAACGCGAAGAACCUUACCAAAUCUUGACAUCCUUUGACAACUCUAGAGAUAGAGCCUUCCCCUUCGGGGGACAAAGUGACAGGUGGUGCAUGGUUGUCGUCAGCUCGUGUCGUGAGAUGUUGGGUUAAGUCCCGCAACGAGCGCAACCCUUAAGCUUAGUUGCCAUCAUUAAGUUGGGCACUCUAAGUUGACUGCCGGUGACAAACCGGAGGAAGGUGGGGAUGACGUCAAAUCAUCAUGCCCUUUAUGAUUUGGGCUACACACGUGCUACAAUGGACAAUACAAAGGGCAGCGAAACCGCGAGGUCAAGCAAAUCCCAUAAAGUUGUUCUCAGUUCGGAUUGUAGUCUGCAACUCGACUACAUGAAGCUGGAAUCGCUAGUAAUCGUAGAUCAGCAUGCUACGGUGAAUACGUUCCCGGGUCU
RNAcentral lists this ribosomal RNA (1372 nucleotides) under uncultured bacterium. Its description in RNAcentral is "bacterial SSU rRNA". It matches the Rfam family "Bacterial small subunit ribosomal RNA", at positions 28 to 1381 of the family's 1533-position model. The record is from RNAcentral.